CCCGACACUUUCCUGAAAUACUUAAACGCAAUAUCAUGAUUACUUAAUGUAGUUAAAAAUUCUGUGUUUUUACUUCUCUCAGUACAAUUUAUAGCAAACCUAAAAGGAGGACAGUUUCUUUUCAUGGCCUCAAUAUCCAUUUCCAUCCCCAUUUCCAUGUGGGUUUGGAUUUGGAAGUUAUCUGCGAUGUAGCAGCAAAACUAGGAAGUCAUUCAGGAACCCUCUUGUUGAUCCGAGGACCAAGUGCACUCGCUGCUGUUACAUUCAUGGGACUCACAUGAUUGACAGCUAUAGAGAGAGAGGACACCGUGAUUACCUUCUUCAUUAUAAUGUCAAACUUCGGAGAACAUUAAGAUGCCAGGCGAACUGCAAAAUAAUAAUAUACAGCUUCAUGCACCAGAAGGUCCUUACUUUUACCAAUGGUUGUCUAAUGCAGCGUACUACACACAGAUGCAAAUUAUAGCACCAUAAUUGCGUCGGAUCAUCAUCCUCUGGUGAACGUCAACCUCAGAAGGAUAAAAUCAUCCAGAUUUGAACAGCAAAAUCGCCUUCUGAUCCAAAUAAAAGUAAACGAAGUGGUUUGUUUCGUGGGUCACAUAGGAACC
This is a long non-coding RNA of Syzygium oleosum, 605 nucleotides long. RefSeq lists it as uncharacterized. NCBI's taxonomy places the organism in Eukaryota, Viridiplantae, Streptophyta, Magnoliopsida, Myrtales, Myrtaceae. The record is from RefSeq and is a predicted model, not a curated record. The transcript is spliced from 2 exons.